Molecule: ribosomal RNA, 498 nt
Filed under: uncultured bacterium
Lineage: Bacteria
Description: partial 16S ribosomal RNA
Rfam family: Bacterial small subunit ribosomal RNA
Source: RNAcentral
GACGAACGCUGGCGGCGUGCCUAAUACAUGCAAGUCGAACGAGAGCGACCGGUGCUUGCACUGGUCAAUCUAGUGGCGAACGGGUGAGUAACACGUGGGUAACCUGCCCAUCAGAGGGGGAUAACAUCCGGAAACGGAUGCUAAAACCGCAUAGGUCUUCGAACCGCAUGGUUUGAAGAGGAAAAGAGGCGCAAGCUUCUGCUGAUGGAUGGACCCGCGGUGCAUUAGCUAGUUGGUGAGGUAACGGCUCACCAAGGCCGUGAUGCAUAGCCGACCUGAGAGGGUGAUCGGCCACAUUGGGACUGAGACACGGCCCAAACUCCUACGGGAGGCAGCAGUAGGGAAUCUUCCGCAAAGGACGCAAGUCUGACGGAGCAACGCCGCGUGAGUGAAGAAGGUUUUCGGAUCGUAAAACUCUGCUGUUAGAGAAGAACAAGUGCUAGAGUAACUGUUAGCGCCUUGACGGUAUCUAACCAGAAAGCCACGGCUAACUACGUG